AUGCAUGACUGCUUUUGCCUGCUCUCUUUUGUGGCCCUGCUACGUCCGAAAUCCUCCUCCUGGCUCCUGUUUCCUCUAACAGGUGCAAAGGCUGUUUUCAGAGGAAGUUGCAGCCCGUCUCCUAGCAACAGCGAGACAUUUAUCACAGAGAGGAGGGGUGGACUUCCUGUGGUCUGGACAUGCGCCAGCUCCCUGGAGACCAAGGGGAAGAGACUGAACUGGGAUUUGAUGUGCUUUUCUUUGUUUUUAAGCCAAGCCAAAACAACACGUGUCUGUUCAGCUGAUAGAAGUUAUGAUGAGGUCACACCUGAGACCACAGAAAGCCCAAGACAUUCAGGGCUGUCGUCCAUCCAUCAACUCAGUAGCGACCCUAUGCAGAGGCAAUGUAAAGUCUGGAUUCUCGUUCAGACAGACCAACGGGCCGCCCUCCCACACCGUGACUCAUCCAACAUUAAGCAGUCAGCGGCACGACUCUGCCGUUGUCAUGGCAACCGAAGCCCACAGCUACCUGACAGACCUCCCAUGGGAUGAAGUGAAGGAAAUGAAAGAGAAUGGUAACUUUGUGUUUGUGCGAUUACGUGCAAAUUGUUGCCAACAGUGGGUGGUCCCUCAACGACAGCAGAAAAAUUAUGUAAGCUCCCAGGAAGUAGUUAUCCUCCAGGGGUUCGGAUGAGUUUAUGUACAUGUAAAGAAUCCAGCUGCAAAUUUUGUCAUUAUCUUAUCCUUUAAAGAUGCAAUAUAAACUGCUGAC
Oryzias latipes (Japanese medaka) is the source of this 751-nucleotide non-coding RNA. The record is from RefSeq and is a predicted model, not a curated record. NCBI's taxonomy places the organism in Eukaryota, Metazoa, Chordata, Actinopteri, Beloniformes, Adrianichthyidae.